Trichogramma pretiosum is the source of this 533-nucleotide long non-coding RNA. RefSeq lists it as uncharacterized. The record is from RefSeq and is a predicted model, not a curated record. The transcript has 3 exons. NCBI's taxonomy places the organism in Eukaryota, Metazoa, Arthropoda, Insecta, Hymenoptera, Trichogrammatidae.
AUCAUUGCCGAGAGCCGGGUGAAAACUUCCUGCUCUGCGCGCCCGCCGGACUCAUUCUGACUUUUUACCCCUUUGUCUCUACGCCUUCCUCGCUGCCACUUAAGCGAUGAAGAUGAGCAAAGUGGGAAACCAAACAAACUCUCAAGAUCCACAGGCAGUUAAUUCGAGAGUUUUCGUGGGAAAUCUCAACACGUUUCAAUGUAGCAAAACAGACGUCGAAAGGAUGUUUCAGCGUUAUGGCAGACUAGCGGGUAUUUCGAUGCAUAAAGGCUAUGCAUUCGUACAGUUCACAAAUCCUUUCGACGCUCGAAGCGCGUGCCUGGGAGAAGACGGACGAACGGUUCUCAGUCAAAUACUCGGUAAGUUACACGCAUUAUUCAUACAUACCCCUGGUAUAUAUUAGCAAUAUGGAUCGGUCAAACACCACCGUCAAAGACCGACCGAUUUUGUAGAUAUUUCUGGUACCCUUUCAAAACGUUACGACUAACUUUCAAAAGUGCGAGCAUAAAGGGAACGAGGGGCAAAAUAAUAGA